RNAcentral lists this ribosomal RNA (253 nucleotides) under uncultured bacterium. RNAcentral's name for it is "partial 16S ribosomal RNA". It matches the Rfam family "Bacterial small subunit ribosomal RNA", at positions 524 to 776 of the family's 1533-position model. The record is from RNAcentral.
UACGUAGGGUGCAAGCGUUGUCCGGAAUUAUUGGGCGUAAAGAGCGUGUAGGCGGCCCGAUAAGUCCGCUGUGAAAGUCCAGGGCUCAACCCUGGAAUGCCAGUGGAAACUGUCGGGCUCGAGUCCGGAAGAGGCGAGUGGAAUUCCUGGUGUAGCGGUGAAAUGCGCAGAUAUCAGGAGGAACACCGAUGGCGAAGGCAGCUCGCUGGGACGGUACUGACGCUGAGGCGCGAAAGCGUGGGGAGCAAACAGG